RNAcentral lists this ribosomal RNA (254 nucleotides) under uncultured bacterium. Its description in RNAcentral is "partial 16S ribosomal RNA". It matches the Rfam family "Bacterial small subunit ribosomal RNA", at positions 57 to 305 of the family's 1533-position model. The record is from RNAcentral.
GCAAGUCGAGGGGUAACGGGGAGUGCUUGCACUCCGCCGACGACCGGCGCACGGGUGCGCAACGCGUAUGGAACCUGCCCUUUACAGGGGAAUAGCCUUUGGAAACGAAGAUUAAUGCCCCAUAGUACCCUCUGUAGCAUUGCAGGGAGGUUAAAGGCUUCGGCCGGUAAGGGAUGGCCAUGCGUACCAUUAGUUAGUUGGUAAGGUAACGGCUUACCAAGACAUCGAUGGUUAGGGGCCCUGAGAGGAUAGUC